GAACAGGAUUAGAUACCCCAGUAGUCAAAGCAGAAAAUGAUGAAUGUCAUAUAUUAGACAUAUGAUAGUUUAUUAUAUAAAUGAAAGUGUAAGCAUUCCACCUCAAGAGUAAUUUGGCAACAUUGGAACUGAAAUCAUUAGACCGUUUCUGAAACCAGUAGUGAAGUAUGUUGUUUAAUUUGAUGAUCCGCAAAAAACCUUACCACAAUUUGAAUAUUUAUAUUUUUCUUUAUUUUUAAUCUUUUAAUAACUCUUUUAUAGAUAAAAAAAAAGACAUUAAUAAGAAAAUUAUGCCUACAAGCGUUGCACGGCUGUCUUCAGUUAAUGUCGUGAGAUUUUGGUUAGUUCCAUUAAAUUAACGUAAACCCUUACUUUA
This 376-nucleotide ribosomal RNA is filed under the name Bryonora septentrionalis. RNAcentral's name for it is "partial small subunit ribosomal RNA". It matches the Rfam family "Bacterial small subunit ribosomal RNA", at positions 770 to 1113 of the family's 1533-position model. Lineage: Eukaryota; Fungi; Ascomycota; Lecanoromycetes; Lecanorales; Lecanoraceae. The record is from RNAcentral.